AGCGAAAGCGUUAAGUAUCCCACCUGGGGAGUACGCCGGCAACGGUGAAACUCAAAGGAAUUGACGGGGGCCCGCACAAGCGGAGGAACAUGUGGUUUAAUUCGAUGAUACGCGAGGAACCUUACCCGGGCUUGAAUUGCGACUGACUGCAUCAGAGAUGAUGUUUCCAGCAAUGGCAGUCGUGAAGGUGCUGCAUGGUUGUCGUCAGCUCGUGCCGUGAGGUGUCGGCUUAAGUGCCAUAACGAGCGCAACCCUUUUCCCUGUUUGCCAUCGGGUAAUGCCGGGCACUCCAGGGAUACUGCCAUCGUAAGAUGUGAGGAAGGUGGGGAUGACGUCAAAUCAGCACGGCCCUUACGUCCGGGGCUACACACGUGUUACAAUGGGCGGCACAGAGGGCAGCGACCGCGCGAGCGGCAGCCAAUCCCGAAAUCCGCUCUCAGUUCGGACUGGAGUCUGCAACCCGACUCCACGAAGCUGGAUUCGCUAGUAAUCGCGCAUCAGCCAUGGCGCGGUGAAUACGUUCCCGGGCCUUGUACUCACCGCCCGUC
Molecule: ribosomal RNA, 548 nt
Filed under: uncultured bacterium
Lineage: Bacteria
Description: bacterial SSU rRNA
Rfam family: Bacterial small subunit ribosomal RNA
Source: RNAcentral